AGCGAACGCUGGCGGCAGGCUUAACACAUGCAAGUCGAGCGGGCGUAGCAAUACGUCAGCGGCAGACGGGUGAGUAACGCGUGGGAACAUACCUUUUGGUCCGGAACAACACAGGGAAACUUGUGCUAAUACCGGAUAAGCCCUUACGGGGAAAGAUUUAUCGCCGAAGAUUGGCCCGCGUCUGAUUAGCUAGUUGGUGAGGUAACGGCUCACCAAGGCGACGAUCAGUAGCNGGUCUGAGAGGAUGAUCAGCCACAUUGGGACUGAGACACGGCCCAAACUCCUACGGGAGGCAGCAGUGGGGAAUAUUGGACAAUGGGCGCAAGCCUGAUCCAGCCAUGCCGCGUGAGUGAUGAAGGCCGUAGGUUGUAAGCUCUUUUGUGCGGGAAGAUAAUGACGGUACCGCAAGAAU
RNAcentral lists this ribosomal RNA (412 nucleotides) under uncultured bacterium. RNAcentral describes it as "bacterial SSU rRNA". It matches the Rfam family "Bacterial small subunit ribosomal RNA", at positions 29 to 487 of the family's 1533-position model. The record is from RNAcentral.